Neogale vison (American mink) is the source of this 107-nucleotide small nuclear RNA. The record is from Ensembl. Lineage: Eukaryota; Metazoa; Chordata; Mammalia; Carnivora; Mustelidae.
GUGCUCACUUCAGCAGCACAUAUGCUAAAAUUGGAACCAUGCAGCGAUGAUUAGCAUGGUCCCUGCACAAGGAUGGCACACAAAUUCAUGAAGUGCUCUGUAUUUUU